UGAAGAGCUUCCUGAUGAGUACAAGGAUCACUCUCAGGUAUUUAUAAAUGCUAAUAAAAAGGUUAAGUCUAAAAUAAUUUGAGUUGUGUCUCAUUUGGUAUAAAUUGUGACAAUAUUAGUUGAAUACCACUUUUCUGCUUGUCUGUCAAAUAUCAAUUUUCACAUAUUGUAGGAUUUUUGUGCAAAGUUGAUAUUACUGAAGAAAAUAUAUUAUACUCAACUAAUUUAAAUAUACUUCAUAGCAAGUAGAAUAAUUUCAUGAUUAAGAAGAAAAAGAGGAAUUGCACAAGUAGCCUGAUAGAAAAGCAUUAUGAUACAAACCUUGAAAUUCCAAGUUGCAAAAGUUUCCUUUUUCCACUAUCUGGUGAUGUAAAAUCAUUACCUCUAAAAAGGAGAGGAACAUUUUUUUUUCUCUAGUUCUUUCAAGGUUCAAUAAUGUCAUUAUCAACACAUUAAAUCUAUAAGUUUAAUUGUAUUAGGCAUAGGAUGAAUGUUAAACAAGUUAUAGAUUAAUAUCAAAUUAUAAAUAGAUUAAAUAAGGUAAAUUUUAAAUAAUUUUAUAAUAUUAUGUGAGUCGGUCCGCCAUAACCUGCAACCCUCUUAGGACGGGUUUGGACUACAAUUUGAUAUGUAUAAAUUAUAUAUGAGCUUUUUAGGCUGAUCUGAUUUAGCCCGAACCCGAUGUGGGCUAGCCCUAACCCAUUUGGGUAGCCCGUUUUGACACAUCUAGUGUCAACACUUAGAGCACGUCUGAUAUCACAUAAUGAGUGUCACUCAGUGGGAUAGAGAUCAUUUGUCUCAAAUCGUGUCACAUUCUUUGUCUCAAACCAAUUAGAAUGCUACUUUUUAUAUUUUUUUUAACCGAUCACAAUGUCAUUACAAAUAGAGUGACACUAAUUAUGUGACUAUAGAUUUGCACCCCUCAACAUUGAACAUCAAUUUCAAACUCAAUGGUAUUGGGAUGAGAAUUGUAGUUUUUUGUACUAACAAUGGUAUUUUUUUACCUUAUUAGGUAAAAAACUAAUCAUUUUGGAGUUCACUAUACCCCUCCUAACAAAUGUUGCUCCCAAGAAUGGAAAUCUCGAUCUUGGGAUUCAAUAUAUCCUUAUAUCAUUAUAUCAACAUCUUGUUGGUUAAGAAUUGCAAUUUGUUAAAAGUUUAUUAGGUUCAUUUAGGAUGCUUCGAGGGGAGAGUGUGAAGAUGAUUCCACUAUGCUAUUCGCUGGCACAUGAAUAACAGGUCAAGAAAGUGGUAUCAGAAAAGUAAUUUUUAAGAAUGUGAUGCUGGAGUAAGUUAUAUGACAUUAUGAUUUUAUAAUUGUGCACGAGAAUAAGGAG
RNAcentral lists this long non-coding RNA (1337 nucleotides) under Lupinus angustifolius (narrow-leaved blue lupine). Its description in RNAcentral is "long non-coding RNA (LANG_LNC002016)". The record is from RNAcentral. Lineage: Eukaryota; Viridiplantae; Streptophyta; Magnoliopsida; Fabales; Fabaceae.